This 1255-nucleotide long non-coding RNA is filed under the name Heterocephalus glaber (naked mole-rat). Its description in RNAcentral is "lncRNA (ENSHGLG00100041692.1)". The record is from RNAcentral. Lineage: Eukaryota; Metazoa; Chordata; Mammalia; Rodentia; Bathyergidae.
CAUCAUCUGUGCCCCCCCCGCCCCCGCCUCUGGCCUCCUGGCUCUUCUGCUCCCUGUUUCCAUACUACAGAGGCACAGGGGAUUAUAAAGGCCCUUGUCUUGAGCUCCACAAGAUAGAGCAGAAGUUAGCAACAGAAAGAGGGCCUUUCAGGCUCCUAGAUGAAAACUGAAGUUCAGCGGAAAAUUAAAGGGAAUCUCUACAAUAAAGGCACACCAGACCACCGUACUUGCCACAUUGAUGAACUAGGAAAUAUCAUCAGACCACCACCACCACCAUCAUCCUCACCGAUGUCAUCCUCCUUGCAUCUUACAUGGAGAAAACCAAAGAUUGAAAGAAUUGGCCUACAAGGCCCCAAAUGCUUAAUGGUUUGGGGAAUGGAAUGCAAAACAAAUGAAAAAUCAUGGUGCUUUCAUACACACUCAGGAAAUGUGGGGGAGAUUUUUCCUUUGGGGACCUCGAAUGCUGUUCUGUUAAUAGAUGCAGGAUCGACUACCUCCAGGCACCUGCACACAGCUGGAUCCUUGAUUCAGGCUGCAGAUGGAGGCCAUUAACAAGAAAAACACGAAUUCAACACUAAACCGGAACGAGAAGUAGUCUGUGAGCUAAUUAAGUGCCAGCUGAAAUUUGAUGAGAUUUUUAAAAAGCAUACCUGCAACAAGAAAGUUUGAAAAUUAUUACAGACAACUAAAGAAUUAGAUAACUUUGAAAUUUAGAGUUCAAUUCUCAUAAUUAGCUAGGAAGUAUAGAAAUGCAUCUCUUGCAAUUGCUAUGACAAGAGUAUUAAUUUAUUAACAUGUAGAAGAGAGUUGCAACUUUACAGAAAUGGGAUGGCUAAUUACAGGAAAAAUUAAGUUAAAAUCACUCUACUUUCCAUUCUUUAGUGGAUCACUUGCUUUCUUAAAUGAUUUCCUGUAUGGUUUGGAGGAUAAAAUACAUUUCCUAAUUUUAAGUCUGAAGCACUUUUGCGAUAGCAUUUUUAAGCUCAUGAUCUUCUCUUUAAAGAAGUUAUUCUUUUUUUAAAGACACGGAUCCAUUUCUCCAGUCCUGGAGUGGACUUUCUGGUUAAGCGUGUGUGCGCUCUUCCACACUCCUGCAGCCUUUGGGUGGCUGCACCUGCUGAUCAAGGUCAAGGCAUCAGCCCUGUCUAUCAGUCAGCUUGAUGAACUUCCACCCAGCCCAUCUCUCUGCAGCAAGGUCACUCUGCUCUCAUUCUCCCUUCUUCCAGCUGUCUACACCAUUUUCUCCUGGUCUGGA